CCAAGGCGACGAUCGGUAGCUGGUCUGAGAGGAUGAGCAGCCACACUGGGACUGAGACACGGCCCAGACUCCUACGGGAGGCAGCAGUGGGGAAUUUUCCCCAAUGGGCGAAAGCCUGACGGAGCAACGCCGCGUGGGGGAAGAAGGCCUUUGGGUUGUAAACUCCUUUUNUCAGGGAAGAAGCACUGACGGUACCUGAGGAAUCAGCCUCGGCUAACUCCGUGCCAGCAGCCGCGGUAAUACGGAGGAGGCAAGCGUUAUCCGGAAUUAUUGGGCGUAAAGCGUUCGUAGGCGGCAUUUCAAGUCUGCUGUCAAAGGCCGAGGCUCAACUUCGGAAAGGCAGUGGAAACUGAAAAGCUAGA
Molecule: ribosomal RNA, 362 nt
Filed under: Oscillatoria sp. M1CL
Lineage: Bacteria; Bacillati; Cyanobacteriota; Cyanophyceae; Oscillatoriales; Oscillatoriaceae
Description: bacterial SSU rRNA
Rfam family: Bacterial small subunit ribosomal RNA
Source: RNAcentral